Long non-coding RNA from Eriocheir sinensis (Chinese mitten crab), 1217 nucleotides. RefSeq lists it as uncharacterized. The transcript has 2 exons. Lineage: Eukaryota; Metazoa; Arthropoda; Malacostraca; Decapoda; Varunidae. The record is from RefSeq and is a predicted model, not a curated record.
UCUCGUUGUUGGUGGUAUUAGGGUAGUUAUAAAGAAUCAUUGACCAGUUACAAAGUUGGUGAGUGGCUGAGGUAAGGAACGUGCAUCCGUUGUGGGCGUGUUGGGCCAAGACAUUGUGACACACGUGCACGUGAUGUUGCAACGUCCAGCAACAUCGGCCACCUGCCUACUUGUGUUGCUACGUGUCAGCCGUUAUGGGGAUACGCGGCCGCCUCUCAGGUGCAUCUCUCACUCAGCCGCCUCCCAACACGCCGGUGGCAGGAGUAAGGAGCAAAUGGACAAUCUCGACGGGACGCUAAAACCAACUUGACAUCACUGUUUUUAUCCUUUCAGUGUUGCCUCCAGCUCGACAUUGGUGUACCUUUUCUUUUUUCCUCUGUAUUCAUUUUACCUUGAGUAAUUUUUAGGUAUAUUAUUAUUAUCUAAUAUCAUCCUCCCCUCCUUACUUUUUUCUUUUCCUUCCUUUCUUCCUUACUUCCUUCAUUCCUUCCUUCCUUCAUCCUCCCUCCCUUCCUCCCUACCUCCCUACCUCCUCCUCCUCCUCCUCCUCCUCCUUCUCCUCUCCCCCUCCCUUUCAACCACAUAGAGGCAGCGCAAUUGCAGGAUGGAGCCUGAGGAAUCCAUUGCGGUAGCGAAGGUGAAGAAAAAUGAAGAUAAUGAAGAAAAGGACGCUAAAGAGGAAGAUCGGAAGAUGGUGGUGGACUUUGCGGUGAUCCGUGAUGGCUUUAUUCCGGGAGCCAACGGGGAGGUCCCUCUGCAGUCCUACGUCAACGCCUUCACCGAGCUGAACAAGUGAAUGGCGGAAUGUGUAGUUGUAAUGCUGCAUUGACAGUAGUAGUUGUGGUAGCAGAAGUAGUAGUAGUAGUAGUAGUAGUAGUAGUAGUAGUAGUAGUAGUAGUAGUAGAACCUCUGUAGUUCUACGUCAACGCCUUCACAGAGCUAAACAAGUGAAUGGCGGAAUGUGUAGUUGUAAUGUUCCAUUGACAGUAGUAGUUACAUAAGAACAUAAGAACGCAGGAGUCUGCAAGAGGCCGGUAGGCCUGUACGAGGCAGCUCCUUUGACCCUAAGCUCCCGUGUAUCUAACCCCACCUAAUAUCGCUGUCCAUGAAUUUAUCUAGUCUAUUUUUGAAUGUGACAAUUGUAUUGGCACUCACCACAUGACUGCUAAGCCUAUUCCACUCAUCCACCACCCUAUUAGUAAACCAAAUUUUGCUUA